CCAAUAGCGUAUAUUAAAGUUGUUGCAGUUAAAAAGCUCGUAGUUGAAUUUCGGGAUCAAGUCGUCGGUCGUGCCUCGGUACGCACUGGUGACAUUGGUUUCUCCCUUCUGAAGAACCUUGAUGUCAUUAAUUUGGUGUCUUGGGGAAUCAGGACUGUUACUUUGAAAAAAUUAGAGUGUUUAAAGCAGGCUCACGCUUGAAUACAUUAGCAUGGAAUAAUGAAAUAGGACGUUUGAUUCUAUUUUGUUGGUUUCUAGGAUCGACGUAAUGAUUAAUAGGGAUAGUUGGGGGCAUUAGUAUUCAAUUGUCAGAGGUGAAAUUCUUGGAUUUAUUGAAGACUAACUACUGCGAAAGCAUUUGCCAAGGAUGUUUUCAUUAAUCAAGAACGAAAGUUAGGGGAUCGAAGACGAUCAGAUACCGUCGUAGUCUUAACCAUAAACUAUGCCGACUAGGGAUCGGAUGAUGUUAAUUUUUAAUGACUCAUUCGGCGCCUUACG
This 498-nucleotide unclassified non-coding RNA is filed under the name uncultured Glomus. RNAcentral's name for it is "SSU rRNA". It matches the Rfam family "Eukaryotic small subunit ribosomal RNA", at positions 591 to 1092 of the family's 1831-position model. The record is from RNAcentral. Lineage: Eukaryota; Fungi; Glomeromycota; Glomeromycetes; Glomerales; Glomeraceae.